This 497-nucleotide ribosomal RNA is filed under the name uncultured bacterium. RNAcentral's name for it is "partial 16S ribosomal RNA". It matches the Rfam family "Bacterial small subunit ribosomal RNA", at positions 28 to 507 of the family's 1533-position model. The record is from RNAcentral.
GACGAGCGCUGGCGGCGUGCCUAAUACAUGCAAGUUGAGCGCUGAAGGUUGGUACUUGUACCAACUGGAUGAGCAGCGAACGGGUGAGUAACGCGUGGGGAAUCUGCCUUUGAGCGGGGGACAACAUUUGGAAACGAAUGCUAAUACCGCAUAAAAACUUUAAACACAAGUUUUAAGUUUGAAAGAUGCAAUUGCAUCACUCAAAGAUGAUCCCGCGUUGUAUUAGCUAGUUGGUGAGGUAAAGGCUCACCAAGGCGAUGAUACAUAGCCGACCUGAGAGGGUGAACGGCCACAUUGGGACUGAGACACGGCCCAAACUCCUACGGGAGGCAGCAGUAGGGAAUCUUCGGCAAUGGACGAAAGGCUGACCGAGCAACGCCGGGGGAGUGAAGAAGGUUUUCGGAUCGUAAAACUCUGUUGGUAGAGAAGAACGUUGGUGAGAGUGGAAAGCUCAUCAAGUGACGGUAACUACACAGAAAGAGACGGCUAACUACGUG